This 253-nucleotide ribosomal RNA is filed under the name uncultured bacterium. Its description in RNAcentral is "partial 16S ribosomal RNA". It matches the Rfam family "Bacterial small subunit ribosomal RNA", at positions 524 to 776 of the family's 1533-position model. The record is from RNAcentral.
UACGUAGGGUGCAGGCGUUAUUCGGAAUUACUGGGCGUAAAGCGUGCGCAGGCGGCCUCUUAAGUCAGAUGUGAAAUCCCCGGGCUUAACCUGGGAACUGCGUUUGAAACUGGGAGGCUAGAGUGUGGAAGAGGGGGGUGGAAUUCCAGGUGUAGCAGUGAAAUGCGUAGAGAUCUGGAGGAACACCGAUGGCGAAGGCAGCCCCCUGGGCUGACACUGACGCUCAUGCACGAAAGCGUGGGGAGCAAACAGG